This is a long non-coding RNA of Arvicola amphibius (Eurasian water vole), 3179 nucleotides long. RefSeq lists it as uncharacterized. The record is from RefSeq and is a predicted model, not a curated record. The transcript is spliced from 14 exons. Lineage: Eukaryota; Metazoa; Chordata; Mammalia; Rodentia; Cricetidae.
AGGAGGUUUGCAAGGGGUAGGCUUUAGAGAAUAAGCUUCUGAGAAGAUGAGUCUAGGUCCCUGCUACUCUCUCUCUUUGCCCUUCUACUUUCAGUCAUGGACAACAAGCUCCUUGCUGGAUGUGAACUCCUCAGUCUUGACCUUCCCAGCUCUGGAACAGCAAGAAACCCUCUGCUCCUUAUCAAUCUGUUGCCAGAGCAGCCCCAAAGAACAAAGACACCUUGAACUGCCCGCAGCCCUGAUUGUCCUGGAACUCGCUCUCUAGACCAGGCUGACCUCGAACACACAGAAAUACAUCUGCCUCUAUCCCUUUAGUGCUGGAAUUAAAGGUGGCUUUCGAUGACAUCUAAGUAAGGGUCAUUCAACACCCCCCUCAAAGGGGUUACAACCUACAAAUUGAGAACCACUGCUUUAGAGACUCGUCCUGGCUCCUUCUGAGAUCAAGACGUAGAACUCUCAGCAACUUCUCCUGCACCAUGUCUGCCUGCAUGCUUUUCGCCAUGACGAUAACGGACUAAACCUCUGAAACUUGUGUUUUAGGGGUGAUAGCCAACAGCAUGGUGCGAGUCAUAUGCUGCUGCCCAACCGUCACCAUCUCUGCAAACCCCUCAUCUUCCUGAGCUGGACUCUGUGCCCUUUAUCCCAGCUCUGUACUCCUCUCCACCGCUAGCCACUUUCCUACCCACCUCUGGAGACUAUAACAUGGUUCUGAGUGGGGAGUGCAUGCUCGUUCAUGAUUGGCUGAUCACAGUCAGCAGGCAGCCUCAAGCAGCUUCCAUGUAGGGGAAGAAGAUGAGAAGAGGAAAGUGAUCAAUAUGAAAGGGACAGAGGACAGAACAGAGUCAUGGAACACAGGUUCAAGAAAGGAGUUGUGCCAGGGGACUUCUGAGCGCUUCUGAGAAAAUGCCAAAGAAACAAGAGCCUUGUGACUAGUUUCUCCAAAACCACGCAAUUGUUCUCGGAACGUGCUUCCGUGCCCUUUCCAGGUGCAGCAAACAGGAGCUUGUCCCCAAUGUGAGGCUUACCCUUGUGGCUGGACACUACUCAUGUGACCCUCAAGUCUAACUUGUCUGACGCUCUGCAGAGUCGGCUCUUGCAUGCAAGUUUCGUCUGCCUCACUUUUAGGUGCCACUCUCCCAGGUUCACACGCUGACUAAAGUGGCUCUGCUUAUGUUUUCAAACUGGACGAGGAGGAUUCCAGCUCCCUUCCCUCCCCAUGGUCCAGGAAUUGACUGACAAGCAUGUAUUUAUUGAGCAUCUACCACGUAAGGUGACUACGUAGCACAAGGCAUACAUCUUCCUGCAGCAUCCGGAGAGGCACUCUUCUGCAGCAGGAGAUUCACUACUUCGAGCUUUCCAUAUUUCGCAGCCACGUGGAGAGGAGUGAAUCCCUUCUGAGGAAGGAAGCGGGAGAGCAUCACGAAUGGAGGUGCCUUCUGAUUGGUUUAAUAAAGAGCUGAAUGGCCGGUAGCUUGGCAGGAAGAGGUUAGGCGGGACUUCCAGGCAGAGCGAGAAGAGGAGAUGAAUCCAGGAGUGGGAGAGAUGCCAGAGGACAGAGAGAGGAAGCAGGAGGUGCAAGAUGGAAGAGAGGAUCUUGUGAUGUGUGACUUGACUCUCCUAAAGAGCCCAGGAAAUAAUGGGAGAUGAAGUUUGGGACCGUCACUAUUUAUUCAGAUGUCAUUUAGGUAUCCUUAGAAGAUAAUAUAUUGAGAAACAACAAAGAAACAAAGAACAAAAGAAAAUUCCUCAAACCUGAAAAACUACUUCCUGCUGAGCAAGUGUCUCUGGCCACAUCCAUGACUAGCCUAGGGGUCCCACUGUAGACCCAGAACCACAGCUUCUUAACCCAUCACCCGGCGGGAGACUCCAAGAAGGGUGUGCUUCAGGAGCCAAAUCCUCAUACCUUUGUUGUGAUGGAUAAGGAUGCUCCGUGGUCCAGAAGGAACGCAGCGACGUCCUCAUGCCCCUCUCGGGCCGAAAGGUGAAGCGGGGUGUACCCAGAGGUGGUUGCAGCAUUGGGCGACGCUCCUUGCUGCAACAGUUGCUGCACUAUAUCUGCCUUCCCCAGCCGGGCUGAGAUGUGGAGCGGCGUCUGGUCAUCCUAAAUGCCAGGCGGAAACAAAUGCAAGCAAUGAGGAAAGUAACUAACACAAGCAACAAGAGGGGGACACCAGGAUGCCACAGCAAGCAGGAGAAAUCCCGAGGACAGAUCACCGAAGGAAAAGUUCCCACCCCUCUGCCAUGGCUACCUCAACCCCAGAACCUUGCUGUCUUCCAUAUUUCAGGCUCUGUUUGGAGCAUGCCAACUGUAUGACUCAGACACCUUUACAGAAGUCAUUAUCCUAUGGUUUGUUUGAGAACUCUUGACUGCAGGUCACAUCCCCAUAUGGUGUUCGUAACUCAACCAGGGGCCACGGACCCAUAAUAACCAAAAACUAAUUCAAGAACCACACACACAUGUGAAGGGUUUCUGUCAGCACUAGCCCAGGUCCCUUAUAGAGCUUCAUUGCAUCUUUGGUUCUGAAGAUGAAACACGAGCCCUUUGCACUGUGCAUGCGGCCCCACCAUGCAACACCAGCAAACCCUGCUUGAAUAUCUUGGCUCAGUUUUCACGCUAUCGUGCAAUAUGAACUGCUAUGUUUUAAAUUGCAUGUGCUAUUACAGAAAUGACAUAGUUCAAUCACUGAAUGCAAAGACGUUUAUCAUUUUCCCAUUGACAUUCCCAAGCAUGUAUGUAUCAUAUAAACAUAUCUAUGGGUUGGAAUGGUACAGAGUGUUAGUUUUAAAAUUACUGUUUCAGCUGCUGACGAGUUUCACAAUCAUUCAAUGAAUUUUUGGCUCAACUCAGACAGGAUUUCUAACAAUUUCUGAAUUGGUCCUCAACAUUUUAUAGCAUGUAUUUAUGCAAGGCAGUGGUCUCAAGCAUUGACAAUUAUGAAAUCAAAGCCUGGAUGAGCUCUGAAAAACUUUGAAGAUGUUCUACAUCCUGAAGUUCCAAUGAUCCAGCCAAGAUUUAAUUCUUUACAAAAAAAUAAACUAGCACAUCCAUUGUUACUAGCACAUCCAUUGUUAAGCAUGCAGAAUCGCUGUCAACUUUAAUAAAUGCGGAGGUUCUGUGGGUGUCACAGAGUCGAUAUAAAGUACGUUUAUGAUCUAUCGCUAAUAAAGACUGGAUUUGU